UGUGGUUAAAUUAGCAAACACCUCCCUUACACUGAGAAGAUAUCCGUGCAAUUCGGAUCAUUUUGAACCUUAA
This 73-nucleotide transfer RNA is filed under the name Isogomphodon oxyrhynchus (daggernose shark). Its description in RNAcentral is "tRNA-Val". It matches the Rfam family "tRNA". From Rfam's summary of the family: Transfer RNA (tRNA) molecules are approximately 80 nucleotides in length. Their secondary structure includes four short double-helical elements and three loops (D, anti-codon, and T loops). Lineage: Eukaryota; Metazoa; Chordata; Chondrichthyes; Carcharhiniformes; Carcharhinidae. The record is from RNAcentral.